This 509-nucleotide unclassified non-coding RNA is filed under the name Hevea brasiliensis (rubber tree). Lineage: Eukaryota; Viridiplantae; Streptophyta; Magnoliopsida; Malpighiales; Euphorbiaceae. The record is from RNAcentral.
GAAGAGCAGUAAUACCAAGUUCCUGCCUCAUAAUAUUGAAAAACAAGUCAAGCAGUAAUGCAGUGAAUGGGAAAUGUAAAUUGUGGUGCUGUGAUGACCAGUAAGACUUGAUACCAAACAAAUGCAUUCAAAUUAGCAAAAAAAAUAAAGGCAAGGUAAGCUUUCACAUCUGAAAGACUAUUCCAGGAAUAAUGCUAUCAAAAUAUUCAUGCAAUUCACCAUAUUAUAAGGCUUCACUGAGCUGCAUAUCUAUAUGAGACAACAUUAAAUAUAACAGAAAAAUACUAUAACAAAGAUGAUCCCCAGUUGGGAGGGACAGAACCUCUUUUUGAAAAAAGGGCCCAGGGAGGGUCACAUAUUACUAGAAAACAUAGUUAUUAAAGGCGCACCUCAGGCACGCUUCAGGCUCAAGGCUCACCAGGCUCCAACCCUAACGCCUUAUGCUCCUAGGUGUGCGCCUUUGUUCUAGGCACAAGAUUCUAGAGAGGCAUGCUUUCUUUAUUUCUAUC